This is a long non-coding RNA of Pseudopipra pipra, 3617 nucleotides long. RefSeq lists it as uncharacterized. The transcript has 2 exons. Lineage: Eukaryota; Metazoa; Chordata; Aves; Passeriformes; Pipridae. The record is from RefSeq and is a predicted model, not a curated record.
AUCUGGAAUUUAACUGCUCCAGCCCCACUGCUCAAGGAGGGACGAUUGCAGCUGCCCAGUAUCAGGUACAGGCAAUGCAGCUGCUACCCCAACACUAAAGUUAUGGAGGUGCAUCUGUCAAUCAGAGAUGCUGGAAGACAUCAGCAAAUGCCCCUCAUCCCUGGGAGCUGGGAUGAGCUCUGUUCUCCUCUCAAGAAGAUGAGGGUGGCAGGGAGCAGCCAACUGGAUAUGGGGCUGUUUGGACCUGGGCAGCUUUGGCUCAAACACUGAGCAAUACAAUCCCAGUAAGAAACUCCUGUGAGUGGAUAAACCCUAUGAAAUUUUGCAAGUCGGGCUGGCAGUCGGGAGGCAGGGCUAAAACCAGGAAACAACAGCCCUUAUUCACAGGAAAGAAAGCCUGGAAUCUUUGGCUUUAUGGUGCACUUGGUGGGCCAGGCUGGGGACUCCCUGGGCAGCAUGAACUUUUUGUGCUGGCACCUUUGGUGUGGGAGGAAUCUUUGUUUGUAUGCAAUUCUGGGAGUUGGUCUGGCAGUUGGGAGGCACGGUUCAAAACAGGAAACAACAGCCCUAAACCCCAGGAAAGAAAGACUGGAAGCUUUGGCUUUGUAGUGCAGUUGGUGGGCCAGGCAUAGCACUCCAUGAGCAGCAAGAGCUUUCUGUUUUGGCACCUUUGGUGUGGGAGGAACCUUUGUUUGUAUGAAAUUUUGGGAUUCAGGCUGGCAGUUAGGAGGCAUGGCUGAAAAAACGAAAGAAGAGCCCUUUUCCCCAGGAAAGAAAGCCUGGAAGCUUUGGCUUUGUGGUGCAGUUGAUGAGCCAGGCUUAGCACUCCAUGAGGAGCAGGAGCUUUCUAUUCUGAUACCUUUUUUCUAGGAGGAAUCUUCGUCCGUUUGAAAUUUUGGCAGUCAGACUGGCAGUUGGGAGGCAGGGCUGAAAACAUGAAACAACAGCCCAUAUCCCCAGGAAAGAAAGCCUGGAAGCUUUGGCUUUGUGGUCCAGUUGGUUUGUCAGCCUGGGCACUCCAUGGACAGCAAGAGUUUUCUGUGCUGGCAUCUUUGGUGUGGGAGGAAUCUUUGUUUGUAUGCAACUCUGGGAGUUGGUCUGUCAGUUGGGAGGCGGUUCUGAUAACAGAAAACAACAGCCCUUAUGGGCAGGAAAGAAAGACUGGAAACUUCGGCUUUCUGGUGAAGUUAGUUUGUCAGUUUGGAGACUCCAUGGAAAGCAAGAGCUUUCUGUGCUGGCACGUUUGGUGUGGGAGGAAUCUUUGCCCGUAUACAAUUUUGGGAGUCAGGCUGGCAGUUGGGAGGCAGGGCUGACAACAGGAAACAACAGCCCAUAUCCCCAGGAAAGAAAACCUGAAAGCUUUUGCUUGGUGGUGCAGUUGAUGGGCCAGCCUGGGCAAUCCAUGAGCAGCAAGAGCUUUCUGUGCUGGCACCUUUCAUUUGGGCGGAAUCUUUGUUUGUAUGCAAUUUCGGGAGUUGGCCUGGCAGCUGGGAGGCAGUUCUGAAAACAGGAAACAACAGCCCUUAUCCCUAAGAAAGCCAGGACGCUUUGGCUUGGUGGUGCAGUUGGUGGGCCAGACUGAGCACUCCAUGAGCAGCAGGAGCUAUCUAAGCUGGUACCUUUUUUCUGGGAGGAAUCUUCAUCCGAUUGAAAUUUUGGGAUUUGGGCUGGCAGUUGGGAGGCAGGGAUGAAAAAAACGAAAGAAGAGCCCUUUUCCCCAGGAAAGAAAGCCUGGAAGUUUUGGCUUUGUGGUGCACUUGGUAGGCCAGGCUUAGCAGUCCAUGAGCAGCAAGAGGUUUCUGUGCUGGCACCUUUGUUCUGGGAAGAAUCUUUGUAUGCAAUUUUGGAAGUUGGGCUGGUAGUUGGGAGGCAGAUCUGAAAACAGGAAACAACAGCCCUUAUCCUCAGGAAAGAAAGACUGGAAGCUAUGGCUUUGUGGUGCAGUUGGGUUUGUCAGCCUGGGCACUCCAUUGACAGCAAGAGCUUUCUGUGCUGGCACUUUUGUUCUGGGAGGAAUUUUUCUUUGAAUGCAAUUUUGGGAUUAGGGCUGUCAAUUGGGAGGCAGGUCUGAAAACAGGAAACAACAGCCCUUCUACCCAGGAAAGAAAGCCUGGAAGCUUUAGCUUUGUGGUGCAGUAGGUGGAGCAGCCUGGGGACUGCAUGGGCAGCAAGAGCUUUCUGUGCUGGCAUCUUUGGUGUCAGAGGAAUCUUUGUUUGUAUGCAAUUUUGGGAGUCAGGCUGGCAGUUGGGAGGCAGGGCUGAAAACAGGAAACAACAGCCCAUGCCCCCAGCAGUCCGGGGGGGAAAAUGGACCGAGGAAUCCGCUGUAAAGGGUUGGUGAGACCCAAAAGAUUCUAGGAGGGGGUCAGGAGAAGCCCAGGAGUCCUGAAGAGGGUUUGGGGGUCCCCAGGAUGGAGUCUGGGGGUCUGAGGUGGUCCCAGGAGAUUUUCAAGGGUUAAGGGGAUGCACAGGAGAUUUGGGGGUCUUGGGGGGGAGCUGGGCGGUUCCCAAGAGUCUUGGGGGAGAUUUGGAGGGGUCACCAGGAGCCCCUGGACCCCCUGAACUCACCCGACACCACCAUGACCUCGUUGGGGCCGCACAUGGAAAACAUCGCGGCGGGGGGAGACCCUGGGGCCGGGAUUGAUCAGGACCAAUCAGGUUCAAUCGCGAUCCUCCCCCCUCCCGCCCCCACCGCCCCGCUCCCGGCAGCCCCCGCGGAAGUAUCGACGUUCUAUUGGAUGACUCACCAGCGCAAGGAAAGGGGCCGAGCAGAAUUUGGCAAUGACGUCAUUCCAGCAGAGCCGUUCUAUUGGCUGCGACCCACGAGGGAGCCCCAGAACCUGUUCAUGGCGUGGGAGGGGAGAGCCGGCAUGGCCGGGAACGGGGGUGCAGAGGGUGUUCCAGUGCCCAGGAAAGUGGCAAAAAACUUUCCCCUCUCUCUCCCAGUGCCCCCUCAGCCCAUCCUGGUGUUAUAGGUAAAUGAAACGAGGCUGAAAUAUAGCAGCAAAAAUUUAUUAAAGAUUUAUAUAAAAUGCAAAUAAGCAAAACAGCACGCUGGGCGGCCGGGGAGACCCCUGCUCCACUCACGGCCCGCAAGCACAGUGGGCAAAAACAGUAACCUUUAUACCCUUAUCAAUUCCCCUCCCAUAGUCAUUUGUUAUUCCUCCAUUGGAUCCGAGUUCGCAUGUCUGGUUCUGGUUGGUUCUUUUGCAGGCCCGCUUCAGUUGCCAGGUACAUUCCUAUCCAUAGUUUUAAUUAAUCCUUCGUCCUUGAGGCCUAGUGUGUGGGACCCUCCAGAUGUCCAUCUUGGAUCCUCUUUAUCGUCCUCGUACUUGACCCUUUGAUCCUUGUCCUUCCCUUCGUUACUUUAGGCGUACACUUUUAGACAAUAUACUUUUAGAAAAACAAGAUACAAAAUACUUAUUCAGCAAGGCACAAUAAUUUGUCUUGUCAGCUUAAGAACUGCAAACUGCAGGAUUAUCAGCCUAUAAUACUGACAAAUUAAUUAACCAUUCUGCAACUUACAGUCCCCCAACCUUAACAGAACAUUGAUUACAAUAACAUAUAUAGGAAUAUAACAUGCAAUACAAUUUAAUGAAUAAAUUACUUUACUACUA